CCAGCAGCCGCGGUAAUACGUAGGGCGCAAGCGUUAUCCGGAAUUAUUGGGCGUAAAGAGCUCGUAGGCGGUUUGUCGCGUCUGCCGUGAAAGUCCGGGGCUCAACUCCGGAUCUGCGGUGGGUACGGGCAGACUAGAGUGAUGUAGGGGAGACUGGAAUUCCUGGUGUAGCGGUGAAAUGCGCAGAUAUCAGGAGGAACACCGAUGGCGAAGGCAGGUCUCUGGGCAUUAACUGACGCUGAGGAGCGAAAGCAUGGGGAGCGAACAGGAUUAGAUACCCUGGUAGUCCAUGCCGUAAACGUUGGGCACUAGGUGUGGGGGACAUUCCACGUUUUCCGCGCCGUAGCUAACGCAUUAAGUGCCCCGCCUGGGGAGUACGGCCGCAAGGCUAAAACUCAAAGGAAUUGACGGGGGCCCGCACAAGCGGCGGAGCAUGCGGAUUAAUUCGAUGCAACGCGAAGAACCUUACCAAGGCUUGACAUGAACCGGUAAGACCUGGAAACAGGUCCCCCGCUUGCGGUCGGUUUACAGGUGGUGCAUGGUUGUCGUCAGCUCGUGUCGUGAGAUGUUGGGUUAAGUCCCGCAACGAGCGCAACCCUCGUUCUAUGUUGCCAGCACGUGAUGGUGGGGACUCAUAGGAGACUGCCGGGGUCAACUCGGAGGAAGGUGGGGACGACGUCAAAUCAUCAUGCCCCUUAUGUCUUGGGCUUCACGCAUGCUACAAUGGCCGGUACAAAGGGUUGCGAUACUGUGAGGUGGAGCUAAUCCCAAAAAGCCGGUCUCAGUUCGGAUUGGGGUCUGCAACUCGACCCCAUGAAGUCGGAGUCGCUAGUAAUCGCAGAUCAGCAACGCUGCGGUGAAUACGUUCCCGGGCCUUGUACACACCGCCCGUCAAGUCACGAAAGUUGGUAACACCCGAAGC
RNAcentral lists this ribosomal RNA (922 nucleotides) under Arthrobacter sp. RNAcentral's name for it is "bacterial SSU rRNA". It matches the Rfam family "Bacterial small subunit ribosomal RNA", at positions 508 to 1427 of the family's 1533-position model. The record is from RNAcentral. Lineage: Bacteria; Bacillati; Actinomycetota; Actinomycetes; Micrococcales; Micrococcaceae.